CGGUGCGAUCAUACCAGCACUAAUGCACCGGA
Molecule: ribosomal RNA, 32 nt
Filed under: Platanus mexicana var. mexicana
Lineage: Eukaryota; Viridiplantae; Streptophyta; Magnoliopsida; Proteales; Platanaceae
Source: RNAcentral